RNAcentral lists this signal recognition particle RNA (252 nucleotides) under Tupaia belangeri chinensis (Chinese tree shrew). Its description in RNAcentral is "Tupaia chinensis (Chinese tree shrew) Metazoan signal recognition particle RNA". It matches the Rfam family "Metazoan signal recognition particle RNA". From Rfam's summary of the family: The signal recognition particle (SRP) is a universally conserved ribonucleoprotein. It is involved in the co-translational targeting of proteins to membranes. Lineage: Eukaryota; Metazoa; Chordata; Mammalia; Scandentia; Tupaiidae. The record is from Rfam by way of RNAcentral.
GCUGGGCACUCAUGCAUCUUUAAUCCCAGCUGCAGGGGAGUUCAGGAGCUCUAAGCUGUAGUACACUGUGUUGAUUGGGUGUCGCACUGAGUUCAGCAUCCAUACGGUGACCUCCUGGGAGUGGGGGACCAUGACGUUGCCCAAGAAGAAGUGAACUGGCCCAGGGAUCAGAAAUGGAGUAGGUCAAAACUUUAAAACUGAUCAGCAGUGAAAUUAUGCCAGUGAACAGCCCCUGCACUCUAGCCCAAGCCU